CACCAACUCGUAGUGAUGGUUUAGACCCAAGAAAGGUUGUCGGUUCUCAAGCGGGGAUCCACCGAGGGGGGGAGGGGGGUGCUCGGAGUGGUGGCCUGGACGAAGAGGGGGUGCCAACCGUGACCAACGAGAUCAUUGGUUCUCAUGCGGGGAUGAUUGUUUUGUGUCAAUUAUCUCACAUCGGAUAAAUAGAAAAAUGUUAAUGAGUAUGUAGGAAAAAUCAGUUCUUCCACCUAUCAGACUAGUCUUUUGAGUUGGACUCUUCCCGUUUGGUUUAUAACAUGGGUGUAGGGCUUCGGAAGUGGUGAGGGUGGAGUGGUAAAGAGGUAGGGGUUGGGGUGCUGGGUGUGAAAGAGAAUAUCCAAUAAACAUAGGAUGUCACACUUAUUUUUCAUACCUCCAUUAACGAAGAUAAUUUCCUAUUUUUAAGGAACUUGUUUUCCUAGAUAAAAUGUUUUUUCAAACAGAACAUUUGAAAAAUAAGAAAAAAAUUUCCGGAAAAAAAUUUCCGCCAUACCAAACACACCCUAAGUUACUCCAAUUUUCCUCUGUGAUCAGUGUGAUUUAUGUCAAGAUAGAUGUAAAUGAACAAGCUGAUGAACUCAUGGAUACUGAACUAUGAAGCUUAUCAAAUCAACAUCUUUUACAGAGAAAAUUUUGGAUAAAAAGGAAGAAAGUAAAAGACAUAAAACACAUGCAUCCUAAUUCCUAAAUCCUAAUAUUGCAUCUCCACACAGCCUAAUAAAAGUCUAAGCAAAAACAGAAUACACAACAACAAUCACUAGACAUAUCAACAUGUUUUUCAACCUUUUUCAUGUACAACAAAGAAACACAAUUGUAACCAAGUAGAUCAAGACAAGGGACCAUGCCCGGUGUCAAAAUGAGAUCCAGAACAACCACCUUACUGUAAUAUGUUACGCGAUUUGCUGAAGGUCUUUAAGUACAAAGGCAAGCGAAGAACAUUGCAGCAAAUAAGGCUAGAUAUCCAUUGUGGCUUCUGUGUUUGCUUGCAGCACCGUGAUGGCGUUUGUGGUGUGCAUUUGCAGCAUAGAUUGGUAUGAAAUUCGAUGAUCCUGGAGUCGAAGGAGAUCGAGAUCCAUCGCCAUUUACUUCCCCUCCACUUCCUCUGCCACCACUAAUAUGAGCCUCUGCAGCAUGACCAUAUUUGCUGUUAAUAACUAUUGUUGUAUUUACAUUAACAUCAUGAUUACUAUUAAGUUGUUCACCCACUAUUGCUUCUUUGUGAUCUGAAAUAAUAGGUUAAUGACAUUCGAAGAUUCUACAAUACAUAUUAUUUAUCAGGUAAAUAUCAGCUGAUUCAGACGAAAUCAGAAUUUAAACUUGACGAGUUCAACCUUAGGUUCUCACAGCUAACUAAAUCCAAAUGUAUUUUCGCAGUAAGGGGUUCAAUUUUAGUGAUUUGACACUCUCAAACACACGGUUCAAGCCGUGGAAACUACCUCCGGUAGAAUACAAAGUAAGGUUGCGUACAAUAAACCCUUGUGAUUCGGUUCUUCCCCGGACUCCAUGCAUGUAUAUAGCAGGAGCUUUAGUUCAUUGGACAACCCUUUACACUCUCAAACAAACAUACAUGCUCAUGUGUACACACAAUAUAUAAAUAUAUUUUAAACAGUACAAUGGUUGUGGGGACUUCCCUCCUCUAUGAUUCAGAUGAAUAAUUAAAGAAAAAAUCCAUAUCCCUUAAUUGAAAGAGUGAAAAAAACACAAAGUUUUCCUUUCAAUUAAGUAAAUGGAUUGCUAAUUGAUCAGGUUAUGAAAAGCAGCACAUCAACUCUUUGGUUUAAACAGAAAAGAAUCAAUAAAUUUGAACACAUUAGGUCAAUUCAACAACAUUAAGAGAAACCAAGAAACUACAUAAUACUUUCUUUGGGGAGUGUCAGCGGGGGCGGAGCUAGUGUUGUGGUUCAAUAACUUUACUUAAGAUCAUACUUUUGUGUUAAGAGAUUCACCUAAUAUAUAUAAAUAACUUAACUCAGUAAAUCCAUAAAUUUAAAAUUUCAAAUUCACCUUUGGGUGUCUGGACCACCUUGUGGUACCUCAACUAAUUUCACGAGUAAUUUGCUAUCUCCCACCAGCACAAAAUUAACCUAUAAUUAAUUCUAUCCACCAAAUCUUGAUCGGAUGGGGAAAAAAUAAACUCAAGAAUACUUACACAGAGGGAUUAAGAGAUGAAGAAAAUAAAAUUACCAGAGGACAAAAUCUUGGCUUGAUAAAAACCACAUGAAAAGUAGAAGGCCAAAAAUAAUAGCAAUAUCAUUUUCUUGGUCCCCAUUUUUGUUUUCUAAAUUCAAGAACACUCCCAUGCAAAGAACUUGAUUUAAUAUUCACUUGUUGUAUUCCAAAUAUUUUUCCCUAGUAUUAUUUAUAGCCUUUCUUUGUUGUUCCUGAAUUGAUCUUCUUACUCAAAAAGCAAAAUGCUAUUUUAAAGUUAGAAAAGACAAUAAUUUAUUUGCCAGUUAAGUGACCUUAGUCAUAG
Molecule: long non-coding RNA, 2497 nt
Filed under: Capsicum annuum
Lineage: Eukaryota; Viridiplantae; Streptophyta; Magnoliopsida; Solanales; Solanaceae
Description: long non-coding RNA (CANN_LNC019750)
Source: RNAcentral